CCGCCGUAGCUCAGCCCGGUAGAGCGCCGGACUCAUAAUCCGGAAGUCCCGGGUUCAAAUCCCGGCGGCGGCA
This 73-nucleotide transfer RNA is filed under the name Thermoprotei archaeon. Its description in RNAcentral is "tRNA-Met". It matches the Rfam family "tRNA". Rfam says of the family: Transfer RNA (tRNA) molecules are approximately 80 nucleotides in length. Their secondary structure includes four short double-helical elements and three loops (D, anti-codon, and T loops). Further hydrogen bonds mediate the characteristic L-shaped molecular structure. tRNAs have two regions of fundamental functional importance: the anti-codon, which is responsible for specific mRNA codon recognition, and the 3' end, to which the tRNAs corresponding amino acid is attached (by aminoacyl-tRNA synthetases). tRNAs cope with the degeneracy of the genetic code in two manners: having more than one tRNA (with a specific anti-codon) for a particular amino acid; and 'wobble' base-pairing, i.e. permitting non-standard base-pairing at the 3rd anti-codon position. Lineage: Archaea; Thermoproteati; Thermoproteota; Thermoprotei. The record is from RNAcentral.